UACGUAGGGGGCGAGCGUUGUCCGGAGUUACUGGGCGUAAAGGGUGCGUAGGCGGGCAGGUAAGUCAGUGGUGAAAUCUCCGGGCUUAACCCGGAAACUGCCGUUGAUACUAUCUGUCUUGAAUAUCGUGGAGGUAAGCGGAAUAUGUCAUGUAGCGGUGAAAUGCUUAGAUAUGACAUAGAACACCCAUUGCGAAGGCAGCUUACUACACGAUCAUUGACGCUGAGGCACGAAAGCGUGGGGAGCAAACAGG
RNAcentral lists this ribosomal RNA (253 nucleotides) under uncultured bacterium. RNAcentral's name for it is "partial 16S ribosomal RNA". It matches the Rfam family "Bacterial small subunit ribosomal RNA", at positions 524 to 776 of the family's 1533-position model. The record is from RNAcentral.